GUGCUUGCUUUGGCAGCACAUAUACUAAAGUUGGAAUGAUACAGAGAAGAUUAGCAUGGCCUUUGUGCAAGAAGGACAUGCACAUUCAUGAAGGGUUCCAUGUUUUU
This is a small nuclear RNA of Vulpes vulpes (red fox), 107 nucleotides long. NCBI's taxonomy places the organism in Eukaryota, Metazoa, Chordata, Mammalia, Carnivora, Canidae. The record is from Ensembl.